GAGUUGAUCAUGGCUCAGGACGAACGCUGGCGGCGUGCUUAACACAUGCAAGUCGAACGAUGACGAUGGUGCUUGCACCGUCUGAUUAGUGGCGAACGGGUGAGUAACACGUGAGUAACCUGCCCUCCUCUUCGGGAUAACCGCCGGAAACGGUGGCUAAUACCGGAUAUGAAUGCCUGCCGCAUGGUGGGUGUUGGAAAGAUUUAUCGGUGGGGGAUGGACUCGCGGCCUAUCAGUUUGUUGGUGAGGUAAUGGCUCACCAAGGCGAUGACGGGUAGCCGGCCUGAGAGGGCGACCGGCCACACUGGGACUGAGACACGGCCCAGACUCCUACGGGAGGCAGCAGUGGGGAAUAUUGCACAAUGGGCGAAAGCCUGAUGCAAGCGACGCCGCGUGGGGAUGACGGCCUUCGGGUUGUAAACCUCUUUCAGCAGGGAAGAAGCGAGAGUGACGGUACCUGCAGAAGAAGCGCCGGCUAACUACGUGCCAGCAGCAGC
RNAcentral lists this ribosomal RNA (497 nucleotides) under uncultured bacterium. Its description in RNAcentral is "bacterial SSU rRNA". It matches the Rfam family "Bacterial small subunit ribosomal RNA", at positions 9 to 518 of the family's 1533-position model. The record is from RNAcentral.